UACAGAGGUCUCAAGCGUUGUUCGGAUUCAUUGGGCGUAAAGGGUGUGUAGGUGGCGCGCUAAGUCGGGUGUGAAAUUUCGGAGCUUAACUCCGAAACUGCAUUCGAUACUGGCGUGCUUGAGGACUGGAGAGGAGACUGGAAUUCAUGGUGUAGUAGUGAAAUGCGUAGAGAUCGGGAGGAAUACCGGUGGCGAAAGCGACUCUCUGGACGGCAACUGACGCUGAGGCACGAAAGCGUGGGGAGCAAACAGG
This 253-nucleotide ribosomal RNA is filed under the name uncultured bacterium. Its description in RNAcentral is "partial 16S ribosomal RNA". It matches the Rfam family "Bacterial small subunit ribosomal RNA", at positions 524 to 776 of the family's 1533-position model. The record is from RNAcentral.